RNAcentral lists this ribosomal RNA (501 nucleotides) under uncultured bacterium. Its description in RNAcentral is "bacterial SSU rRNA". It matches the Rfam family "Bacterial small subunit ribosomal RNA", at positions 29 to 524 of the family's 1533-position model. The record is from RNAcentral.
AUUGAACGCUGGCGGAAUGCUUUACACAUGCAAGUCGAGCGGCAGCGCGGGGGCAACCCUGGCGGCGAGCGGCGAACGGGUGAGUAACGCAUCGGAACGUACCCUGUCGUGGGGGAUAACUAUCCGAAAGGAUGGCUAAUACCGCAUACGACCUGAGGGUGAAAGCGGGGGAUCGCAAGACCUCGCGCGAUAGGAGCGGCCGAUGCCGGAUUAGCUAGUUGGUGAGGUAAAGGCUCACCAAGGCGACGAUCCGUAGCUGGUCUGAGAGGACGACCAGCCACACUGGGACUGAGACACGGCCCAGACUCCUACGGGAGGCAGCAGUGGGGAAUAUUGGACAAUGGGCGCAAGCCUGAUCCAGCAAUGCCGCGUGUGUGAAGAAGGCCUGCGGGUUGUAAAGCACUUUCAGUGGGGAAGAACGGAUACGGGCCAAUACCCGCAUCACUGACGUUACCCACAGAAGAAGCACCGGCUAACUCCGUGCCCAGCAGCCGCGGUAAU